CAGUCGCCGCGGGAAAACGAAGGGGGCUAGCGUUGUUCGGAUUUACUGGGCGUAAAGCGCACGUAGGCGGAUUGGUAAGUUAGGGGUGAAAUCCUGGAGCUCAACUCCAGAACUGCCUUUAAUACUGCCAGUCUCGAGUCCGGAAGAGGUAAGUGGAACUCCUAGUGUAGAGGUGGAAUUCGUAGAUAUUAGGAAGAACACCAGUGGCGAAGGCGGCUUACUGGUCCGGUACUGACGCUGAGGUGCGAAAGCGUGGGGAGCAAACAGGAUUAGAUACCCAGUAGUCCCUGUCUCUUAUACA
RNAcentral lists this ribosomal RNA (301 nucleotides) under uncultured bacterium. Its description in RNAcentral is "partial 16S ribosomal RNA". It matches the Rfam family "Bacterial small subunit ribosomal RNA", at positions 509 to 808 of the family's 1533-position model. The record is from RNAcentral.